CUUGCCGCCGGCGUCUCCUCCUCAGGCCGUCCACCUCCUCCAAUCCGCAGCCACCUGCCCCUUCUCCUCCUCCUCUUUUUCUAGGGCCGAGGCUGCGCCGUCCAACGAGCAGGCCCCUGCAGCAGUGACGGAGCAGCUCGGUGGUGCUAGUGCCGAACCGCGUCCUCUGACGGGCUCGACGUCGUCGGACGGAGGAGGUCGGGGAAGGAGAAGAGAGAGCGACGGGCCAGAUUACGGCGCACGUGCCUAGCUAAAAGUGGAUCCGCUGAAUGUUUUCACACAGCAAAUAGCUAAUCAAUUCAAAUGUCACCCAAUCAAUCUUGAUAACCCUCUCGUAAGUUAACCAGGCAUUGGUUGGUGACGAAGCACUUCGGGAUUUGGAUGUGGGAGGCCGUUGCUCUGCAUCACCUUCAUCCCGAAGCAGUGAGGAUGGGAAGAGUUUGAUGCGUGAACAGAGGGUGCUGCAAGUAAAUUAAAGAUGCCAAGCACAACAUGGCUUGACUGAAUUCUGUAGUACCUUCUUCAAACAUGCACACUAAGUAGUAUGUUUCUGUGAUCCAGCCUCUUCAUAAAUUUAUAGAUGGAAGAUGGUACAAUGAGCUUCUCUAGAGGUCAUGAGUUCAAAGUUAUCAUCACCAGCUUCUCUACAUCCCAACAAAUCAAACUUGUGUAAAAGAGAGGAGUUUUACCUUCAUUGUCAUCUUCUCCAAAAGAAUGAACAGCUAAAGUCAUCACUACCAGCUUCAAAAUAUUUUUGGUUAAUGUUACAA
Molecule: long non-coding RNA, 770 nt
Organism: Musa acuminata AAA Group (dessert banana)
Lineage: Eukaryota; Viridiplantae; Streptophyta; Magnoliopsida; Zingiberales; Musaceae
Exons: 2
Source: RefSeq, a predicted model, not a curated record